Molecule: ribosomal RNA, 486 nt
Filed under: uncultured bacterium
Lineage: Bacteria
Description: partial 16S ribosomal RNA
Rfam family: Bacterial small subunit ribosomal RNA
Source: RNAcentral
AUUGAACGCUGGCGGCAUGCCUUACACAUGCAAGUCGAACGGCAGCACGGGUGCUUGCCCCUGGUGGCGAGUGGCGAACGGGUGAGUAAUACAUCGGAACAUGUCCUGUAGUGGGGGAUAGCCCGGCGAAAGCCGGAUUAAUACCGCAGACGAUCUACGGAUGAAAGAGGGGGCCCUUCGGGCCUCGCGCUAUGGGGUUGGCCGAAGGCUGAUUAGCUAGUUGGUGGGGUAAAGGCCUACCAAGGCGACGAUCAGUAGCUGGUCUGAGAGGACGACCAGCCACACUGGGACUGAGGCACGGCCCAGACUCCUACGGGAGGCAGCAGUAGGGAAUUUUGGACAAUGGGCGAAAGCCUGAUCCAGCAAUGCCGCGUGUGUGAAGAAGGCCUUCGGGUUGUAAAGCACUUUUGUCCGGAAAGAAAUCCUUGGCCCUAAUACGGUCGGGGGAUGACGGUACCGGAAGAAUAAGCACCGGCUAACUACGUG